GAUGAACGCUGGCGGCGUGCCUAAUACAUGCAAGUCGAGCGGACGGACGAGGAGCUUGCUUUUCUGAUGUUAGCGGCGGAGGGGUGAGUAACACGUGGAUAACCUACCUAUAAGACGGGGAUAACUUCGGGAAACGGGAGCUAAUACGGGAGAAUAUUUUGAACCGCAUGGUUGAAAAGUGAAAGACGGUCGUGGUGGCACGUAUAGAUGGAUCCGCGCUGUAUUAGCUAGUUGGUAGGGUAACGGCUUAUCAAGGCAAGGAUGCAUAGCCGACCGGAGGGAGUGAUCGGCCACCCUGGAACUGGGACACGGUCCAGGCGCCUGCGGGAGGCCGCAGUAGGCAAUCUGCCGCAAUGGGCGAAAGCAUGACGGAGCAGCGCCGCGUGAGUGAUGGAGGUCUUCGGAUCGUAAAGCUCUGUUAUUAGGGAAGAACAUAUGUGUAAGUAACUGUGCACAGCUUGACGGUACCUAAUCAGAAAGCCACGGCUAACUACGUG
RNAcentral lists this ribosomal RNA (497 nucleotides) under uncultured bacterium. RNAcentral's name for it is "partial 16S ribosomal RNA". It matches the Rfam family "Bacterial small subunit ribosomal RNA", at positions 28 to 507 of the family's 1533-position model. The record is from RNAcentral.